This is a long non-coding RNA of Monodelphis domestica (gray short-tailed opossum), 2096 nucleotides long. The record is from Ensembl. NCBI's taxonomy places the organism in Eukaryota, Metazoa, Chordata, Mammalia, Didelphimorphia, Didelphidae.
CUGAGCGCCUUGACCACUGGAGUCACCAGGCCACUGUCCUCGGCAACUUCCCCUCUUCGCCCGGCCGGCAAAGGUUGGAAACCCCGCUCUAACGCAGCCUUCUCGAUCCCAGAAUCAGCAGCAGCAGCAGCUCUGCGCAGUCCCCGGGUCAGAGCGGCGGCCCCCGGCGGCUCCUCCUUCCCAGCUACCCGAGAAACCCGGGUCAGGGAAUUAACUAAAAAACGGAAACUACGGAAAGUGCCCGAAGACAGCCGGGGAGUGUGGGGUGGGGAUGGCGCGGGAGCGAUGCGGGACUCCACCGCCCUCCACUCUCCCUUCUUCCGACUCUUCCCCGUCUCUUACCCCCGCCAAGCCCCCACCUCCAUCUCCCCUACCGAUCUCUGUCCAGGCCACAGAGGGGAAGAGGAAGCCCAGCAUCCCUUGGGGCCCAGGUCCUAUGAAAAGGAAAAUUUAGCAUCGGUCUGGAGGGGCGGACCCGGCUCCACUGCUAGCUCCUUCUUUCCGAGCCUCUGACCUCCAAUCCAGGGCGGCAGCGGUGGCAUGCACCCGCACACCUACGCCGAUGCAAACAGACACACACAAAAUUGUGGACCCAAAUAGGGAGCAGAACACGCACUUAUCCAGCUCUCCGGAGGCAGCUGCGGGGAGGAGAUGUUCUGCAGCGCCUACUCCACACCAGGCACUGUCCCAUUAGCUCAUUUGUUGCUCACGAAGACCCUCGUCAGGCCCACUACUGACCCCACAGCAGCUCCACAGAAUCCAGAAACUCAGAGGCAUCUAGUCCAAACAGGCCAAGUCUCCAUCCCUGCCUCCUACCCUCUCUCUAACACUGUUAAUACCGGAGGUGACCUGAAGACGGGCUGCAGCAGGAUGCGGAGGACUGGCGUUGGAACACACCCACCCCCCUCUCUAGAUCUGAAGCACCUGUGCCCUCCUUGUGCCAGUGCCCCAUCUCCUAGUGCCCUGCACUUAGUACCUACUCCCUUCUUUGGUACACUGUGGCUCUCCCGAGGAUUAUUUAAAAGCCUGAAAUCUCCAAUGUAUCUCCAAUGUGUGAAGAUUCCCUUUCUGAAGGGAAGGCUCACUUGAAUUAAAUGUCACAAUAACUGUGGCCAAGGCUGUUCUCAGGAUAAUGACUAGAACUUGCACUGAACAGGCAGCCUUUGUUCAGGUAAUAGUCACAGGUUAACAAGGGAAGGUUAUCUUUAGGCUAAUUACUAGAAGCUGCCCACUAGAGACCCCCUCCUUCAGAUAACAGCCACCUGUCUCUAAGGCUGCUCAGAGGGUUGCAUAUAUGUCAAGGCCCAGCUCCCCAGAAGACCAGUGAGAGGGUCGUCUCAUGACAGGUCAGAGCCUAUCCACGAUAUCAUCCUGGCCAGUCAGUGCUUACAAGAGUGCUCACUCAGAAACGAGAUGGAAGGAUGGAUGGAUGGAUGAUAGAUGUUAGAGAUAAAUAUGAUUGAGGUAGAUGAUAGAGACAGAGACAGAUGGAUAGAGAGAGAUAGACAGAUGGAUGGAUAGAUAGAUAGAUAGAUAGAUAGAUAGAUAGAUAGAUAGAUAGAUAGAUAGAUAGAUGGAUAAAUGGAUAAAUGGAUGGAUAGACAGAUAGACACGACAUAGGUAGGUAAAUAGAUAGAUAAAUGGAUGGAUGGAUAGAUGAUAGAUGUUAGAGAUAAAUAUGAUUGAGGUAGAUGAUAGAGACAGAGACAGAUGGAUAGAUAGAGAGAUGGAUAGAUGGAUGGAUGGAUUCAUGGAUAGAGAGACACAUGGCAGAUAGAUAGAUAGAUAGAUAGAUAGAUAGAUAGAUAGAUAGAUAGAUGGGUGGAUGGAUGGAUGGACAGAUGGAUGGAUGGACAGAUAGAUAGAUAUUCAUGGAUAGACAGAUACAUGACAUAGAAAUAGAUAGAUAAGUGGAUGGGUGGAUAGAUGAUAGAUGUUAGAGAUAAAUACGAUUGAGAUAGAUGAUAGAGACAGAGAUAGAUUGAUAGAUAAUUGAUGCUGGAGACUGAUAGAUGAUAGCGAUAAAUAGCUAGUUGAUAGAUAAGCCACAUUUCUGCAUUAGAAUUGUAUGUCAAAUAUCUAUAUAUAAGAUAUAG